GGCGAAGCUGAGCACACGCCGCGUGGGUGAGAAGGCCUUCCGGUCGUAAAGCCCUGCUCUUGUGGGAAGAAUGGCCUAGGGGGAUUAAUACCCUUCUUGGAGAUGACGGUACCUCCAGAGGAAAGCUCCGGCUAACAUCCGUGCCAGCAGCCGCGGUAAUA
This 161-nucleotide ribosomal RNA is filed under the name uncultured sulfate-reducing bacterium. RNAcentral describes it as "partial 16S ribosomal RNA". It matches the Rfam family "Bacterial small subunit ribosomal RNA", at positions 374 to 525 of the family's 1533-position model. The record is from RNAcentral.